GAUGAACGCUGGCGGCGUGCCUAAUACAUGCAAGUCGAGCGAAGAGUUUCUGAUCCUUCCCCUAGGACAAUAGAGGCGCAAAGGGGAGUGUAACGCGUAUAACCCAUGCAUCAUACACGGAUAACACUAGGGAAAAGGAGAUCUAAUCCGAGAUAACAUCAUUCACUGUGGUGCUAUAGUGUAAAAGUUUGUUUUUCUAACACAAAGAGAGAUCUUCGCGGUGUAUUAGCUAGUUGGUGGGGUAAAGGCCUACCAAGGCGACGAUGCAUAGCCGACCUGAGAGGGUGAUCGGCCACACUGGGACUGAGACACGGUCCAGACUCCUACGGGAGGCAGCAGUAGGGAAUCUUCCGCAAUGGGCGAAAGCCUGACGGAGCAACGCCGCGUGAGUGAUGAAGGUCUUCGGUUCGUAAAGCUCUGUUGUUAGGGAAGAACGAAUGUGUAGGAAACAAACAACGUAGUGACGGUACCUAACCAGAAAGCCACGGCUAACUACGUG
Molecule: ribosomal RNA, 499 nt
Filed under: uncultured bacterium
Lineage: Bacteria
Description: partial 16S ribosomal RNA
Rfam family: Bacterial small subunit ribosomal RNA
Source: RNAcentral